Long non-coding RNA from Taeniopygia guttata (zebra finch), 3059 nucleotides. The record is from Ensembl. Lineage: Eukaryota; Metazoa; Chordata; Aves; Passeriformes; Estrildidae.
GAAAGGGAGGUAAUUUUAUUACUCUUAUGGUAUGUUUUCCAUUAUUUGCAUAAUUGCUUAAUGCUAAUAAGACAAUUAGCAAUUCUUACAGCUUAAUAAUUACCCAGCAAUGACUGGGCUACUGUAGCUUAAUUAAUUUUUUAAUUGUUGCUGGGGGUCUUGACAAUUUUUGCCUGUAUCUUGUGUUAGAGAUGGUGUCUCUGCAAACAGGCUGAUACCAAAACACCACCAGCAACACAGGACAGGCAGAUAUGUUGUUAUAGAGGUAUUCUAAUUUUAAACUGACGGGAAAUUUCAAGCUCUAUAUUCUGCUACUUUAGGGGCACAUUAUCUAAAUGCAGACAGGCAACACAGAGAACAGUCCACCUCAGGCAAAUGCUCAAAUGCUACCUCUAUAGCAGCCAGGCUACUUGGAUGGCAUGGGGCUGGCUUUGACUGUCCUGAAGUUAACAAAAGUCUUACCAUUUUUAGCUUUUAGCAAACAAGUCCUUGAAUUAAGUGUGAACAAUACUGUCCUGAAUCAUGGUACGGCCAGAAGGAAGUUGAUUGAGGGCAGGCAGGGCCAGGAGUGCAUUUGUCACUGAUGGAGGUCACAGAUGAGGUUGGCUGGAGGAAGUGGAUGGCAGGGCCCAGGGAUCAGUCCUGGGAUAGGCUCCACUCACAGACACAGGUAAAAUGAGAGGUUUCCUCUCCUUUUCUAUUUUGCACAAGACUUCUUGCCUGCUGCUCCUUGCAAGGUGAGGCUUCUCUUUACUCCUUCUCAUUUCUCAUGGCUGGCACAUCAGCCUUUAGCCAUGAAAUCCCAGUUGGUGGCUGUUAGCUGCACACCUCUCCCCGUGCUUUUCCCCUGAGGCAGGAAACAGGCAGGUACCUCCCUCCUCAGUCAUGCCCUGCUCAUGACCAAAUUUACAUGCUGCUCCAGGAUACCCCACACAGUUCCUGGGAUGCACAACCUUGCCCAGAGCUGCAUCAAAGAGCCACAAACCUCCAGGAUAUUGGCACAUUCCAGCCACACAGGGUGCCAGGUGUGUGGCAUGGCCAGCUUAGAGAUGCCCACUUGUGCCCAGCCAAGCAGUGGAGGCCCAUGAUGUGCAUGCUGGACAAGAGCCAGCCUUGCCCUGAGCUGGGUGCAGCCACAGGAUGAGAAACAAACCUCUGGCCAGUCUUCCCCAUCAUGCCUCCCCUACAGCUGGCAAGGGAUUCCCAGUGUAUCUGAGAAGAGAAAAAGCCUCCCCAUGAGCCAGUGUUAAACAUUCCCCAGCCCCAGACCAGCUCUGGCAGCCCAGUUCUCUUUAGAAACCUCUUGACUACAGGAGAUGAUGGUAAAAGGUGUUUAAACAAGCAUUUUGCACCAGUUUGGGAAGUGCUGCCUCUAAGGCAGAUGGGAGCAGUGACUUGCACUGGGGCCCCAUGGGCUUGGCCAGGAAAGACCCUACAAACCUCGUCACCACUCCUCUUCUGAUCAAGGCACAAGCUCUGGAAGACACAGAAGAUGGCCCCAGCCCCAGGAGGAGCCUGGGAUGAGCUGUGAAGGGUGAGCCUGUCAGCUCAGCCAGGCAGAGAUGGAAAUCACAGAGCACAGAUUACAGGCAGGCAAGUGUCAGGGCAUCAGUACCACUGUCACCAACAUUUGAGAGCUGCCACAGCUGCCUUCCCCAAGAGCAGGGAUGGGGCCCUGCCCUGAGCUGUCUCCAUCCAGCCAGGCACCCUCUGACAGCUGUUUCCAGCACUGAUCUGGUUGUGAUGAUGUGCUUCAAGCCAAGGCAACCUGCUGAGCUCCACUGGGUCUAAGCAGAGGAUGGCAGCACAGAAAAUGCAUUGUGGGAACCUUCAACACAGCAAAAAGGAGAGAUCAACAAAUCACAGAGCAUGAUUUUUGUACUGGGAGAUCUAUAGGAAGUCUCAGUUCUGCAGAGUAACUUCCACCCACAUCAUCUCCAUUUGGCUUCAUUUCCUGAUUUCCCAAAAGGAGAUUGCUGCUGCUGUUAAUGAGAUGCUCCUUCCACCUUCCCAGACACAUCUCUUUCCACAGAGCUCUGCAAAGCCUGUCUGCUCUGGACUGAGGGGGUCAUGAAAUAGUUCUGCCAACAUCCAAGCGUGCCCUGCUCCUGCAUCCUGGAGCAGGUCUGCUCACCACAGGCAUUGCAAAACAGACACAGGACAAUUUGGGACCAACCACAUUGUUUGGUUUUGCCUGUAAAUGUUUCUAGUUGCAGUUCCAGAGUGGAAUUUCUGGAAAUCCCCAGCUGUAGAGAUCUUUACCAAAGCACCACUAUCGUGUUUGAGUCACUGGCUUUGCACAAUCACACUCUUGAGACAUCUUCCUUGCUCCUUGACUCAAAGUCCUUAUAAGCCCUUUUCCAGGAAGUCCCACAGGUUCCCAGCUGCUCUAGGCCCACAGCAGCACCAAGAGAACUACCUCCCUGCUCUGACAAACUGAGCAGUGCCUUAAUGAUGUGUGAGAAGGGACUGAGGUAAGGGUUCCCAGUGAGAGUACUGGCUCCCCUUGGACAGGCUUUAAUCCUGCUGUCACUGAGCCCCUCAGGAAACCCAUUCCAAUGACUUGAUCUCCUUCAGCAGUUCCUCCACAUAAUUUAUAUGGAGCUAAUUGCCACAGUAGUGGCUCCGGAUGCAAAGCAGAUGCUGCUGAGGAGAAGAGCAUGUUACAUCCAUAACUGAUAGCUCUAAUCUCUAUUUAAAUACAAGGCUACUUAGAGCUGAUGGGAGGUUCAGUUCUCCCCCUUUUCUUCUCCACUUCUUUGCAAAGCCAGCUAGACAUUCAUUCAUAUUUUGAGACACCAGCUAAAGUGCUCAGCUGUGGUAUUCCUCAUGUGCAAGAACAGCCAGUAUUACCCCACCCAGGCACCUAUGAGCUCACAACUAUCCCCACCACCAGCAAGGAGAUACAGAUACAAUUCCUCCAGGAUGUUUGUCAUUGCUAUACUACAGUGUUUCUCUACUAACAAGUGGAACACUAGAGGAAUAGAGACAAAUUACAUGAGAACAAACUGGUGAUUAGAAUUAAGUGAGGCUGGAGAAAAAGCACGUGGAGCAGUGGA